RNAcentral lists this long non-coding RNA (450 nucleotides) under Polistes fuscatus (common paper wasp). RNAcentral's name for it is "uncharacterized LOC122520351". The record is from RNAcentral. Lineage: Eukaryota; Metazoa; Arthropoda; Insecta; Hymenoptera; Vespidae.
ACGAUUUAUACAUUUAUGUAAGAGUUUCUCUCUAAGACUCAAUGCCAAAACUAUAAAGUCGUUACAAACGAAAGUUCUCACUCGACUAUCGGGCUAGCGGUGUUUAUUUGCUUGAUUGAUAUCCGAUACGGUCAAGAUCCUCGAAUGUUCUACGCCAUCUCAUCUACUAUGACGUAAAAUAAAUAAACUUGUAACUGAAGGAAGUGUAUAGACGUCUUCUCACGAAUUCAAAUCAGUAUAGUCUUGCGACACGAACAGAGUGCAUCGAACGUGAAAGUCACAAAGAGCAUACUUGGCAGUCUUUUAUUAUUAUUUUGUAAUAUUUUAUAUCGUAUUACGUGUUAUAAGUGCCAUUUUCAAAAUAGUGAACAAGACUAAAGUUAGAUAGUGAGAAUGAGGAAGAAGUAAGCGAAAUUGCGAUGGACGGAACUGUUUGGCACGAAGUAAAAA